Molecule: non-coding RNA, 45 nt
Organism: Arthrobacter sp. ERGS1:01
Lineage: Bacteria; Bacillati; Actinomycetota; Actinomycetes; Micrococcales; Micrococcaceae
Source: Rfam
AAAAUGGCCCCUUUCGGGGCCAUCCAAACUGCCAAUUCCGCAUGC